GUAGGUGAACCUGCGGAAGGAUCAUUACAGAGUUCAUGCCUUAACAGGUAGAUCUCCCACCCUUGAAUAUAUUACCUUUGUUGCUUUGGCGGGCCGCUUCGUCCACUGGCUUAGGCUAGUGAGUGCCCGCCAGAGGAUCCAAAAUUAUGAAUUACAGUGUCGUCUGAGUACUAUAUAAUAGUUAAAACUUUCAACAACGGAUCUCUUGGUUCUG
RNAcentral lists this unclassified non-coding RNA (214 nucleotides) under rhizosphere metagenome. Its description in RNAcentral is "partial ribosomal RNA internal transcribed spacer region". The record is from RNAcentral.